This 253-nucleotide ribosomal RNA is filed under the name uncultured bacterium. Its description in RNAcentral is "partial 16S ribosomal RNA". It matches the Rfam family "Bacterial small subunit ribosomal RNA", at positions 524 to 776 of the family's 1533-position model. The record is from RNAcentral.
UACGUAGGGUGCAAGCGUUAUCCGGAAUUAUUGGGCGUAAAGAGCUCGUAGGCGGUUUGUCGCGUCUGCUGUGAAAACCGGAGGCUCAACCUCCGGCCUGCAGUGGGUACGGGCAAACUAGAGUGCGGUAGGGGAGAUUGGAAUUCCUGGUGUAGCGGUGGAGUGCGCAGAUAUCAGGAGGAACACCGAUGGCGAAGGCAGAUCUCUGGGCCGUAACUGACGCUGAGGAGCGAAAGCGUGGGGAGCGAACAGG